RNAcentral lists this transfer RNA (73 nucleotides) under Fidelibacterota bacterium. RNAcentral describes it as "tRNA-Thr". It matches the Rfam family "tRNA". From Rfam's summary of the family: Transfer RNA (tRNA) molecules are approximately 80 nucleotides in length. Their secondary structure includes four short double-helical elements and three loops (D, anti-codon, and T loops). Lineage: Bacteria; Pseudomonadati; Fidelibacterota. RNAcentral also lists the same sequence under 2 other names. The record is from RNAcentral.
GCCACCAUAGCUCAGUUGGUAGAGCAUCUGAUUUGUAAUCAGAGGGUCGCGGGUUCGAAUCCUGCUGGUGGCU